Molecule: long non-coding RNA, 4818 nt
Filed under: Patiria miniata (bat star)
Lineage: Eukaryota; Metazoa; Echinodermata; Asteroidea; Valvatida; Asterinidae
Description: uncharacterized LOC119745343
Source: RNAcentral
UUGAUGGGUGCUACAACUGUAUUGAUUAACACGACACCCUUGAUGGGUGCUACUAUUGAUUAACACGACGCCCUUGAUGGGUGAUACUAUAGAGAAAGACUACCUCACCCUUGAUGGGUGCUUCUAUUGAGAUAUACGACACCCUUGAUGGGUGCCAACGAAUUAAUUCAAUAUAGAAUUACUUAUGUAAUACAGUUGUAAAACCAGCAAGUGAUUUUUUUUUUUUAAAGAAAACAAAGAGUUAAGGAUAUUUUUUUCUCCAACUUUUUUCCAAGGAACCUCUCCACACGAUACUUAAUUUUGACACAAAUCUUACCAAGCACCAGAUGGGAAAGGAAUGAAAAUCCCACCGCUUGGAUGUGCAAUUAAAACAGCCAAAAAAAUUGAGAUCAUUUGUUUUUAUUAAUGCAUGCCAUUGUUUUUGUGUGUCAGUAAUGCACGAUUCCGAAAAUAAUCAUGUAUUCGAAAUGAGCAGUAGCGCGCUUUCGAUUCGAUUAAAAAUGACUUUCAAAAGAUAGCACGUAUAAAUCAAAGGCUUAAAUCCUCAAGGGUAAAAUAAAUAAAUGAGGAGAAAUUGUCGGAGCGGAACGGCGAAAUCGGAACAAAACUGAUUGCCAAUCUUUUUUUUUUCUCGUUAAGACGAUGGAUAUCGACCGGUGGGUAUAUUACAAACAACAUAUUUAUCGUUCGUUAACAAUAAUGAGUUCGUGUUGAGAUCGAGUGCGAACAAAGUUAGUGUCGAUCAUUAAAUUUGGUCAAUCAUUUGUCUGAUUUGUGUAUAGGAAUCAAAUAAGACGAUGUCGACCUGCAUGACUUGCAUGGAUUAAAACAACAAAUGCAUCGUUCGUUCACGAUUAUGAGUUCGUGUUGAUUUCGUUUGCGAACAAAGUAGUGUCAAUCAUUAAAUUUUGUCAAUCAUUUGUCUGAUUUGUGUAUAGGAAGAAAAUAAGACGAUGUAUGCUAUAUCGACGUAUUGAUCAAAACAACAUAUUUAUCGUUCGUUCACGAUUACGAGUUCGUGUUGAGUUCGAGUGCGAACAAAGUUAGUGUCAAUCAUUAAAUUUUGUCAAUCAUUUGUCAAUCAUUUUGUCCGAUUUGUGCAUAGGAAGAAAAUAAGAAUUUGUUUUGAGUUCGAUUGCAAAAAAAAGUUACACGAGUACAAGUUGAAAGACAAUUAUGUACACGGGUACAGGUACUUAAAACUGCUAAAGCACGUAGCAUCUGCUAUCUAGGAAGGAUUUUUAUGUCGAAAUCAUGGUGGGGCCAUGUGUAGUAAAUCGUUCUGCUUCUCUUCCAAUUUGCAACAUCUGCUUAUUUUUGUUUACUCUUGCACAAUAAUAUCUCCUGCUUGGCUUUUAAAGACACUGAUUGUGAGAUGUAUAGGGUCAUGUUUGUACGGAAUAUUUUUUUCGUUUGUAACAAAUCGUGUUAGAUAAUUAGGGCCAUUGUGUACCAUUGAAACCUUUUGAAAUUCCAGUCGCGUCUAUCAUGCAUUUUCUCGUCGUUCUACAUUGAUUCUCAUUGUGAAAAAAAAUCCUAGGGCCAUGUGUGCAAAACUUUCAUCGCUGUUUGGUAGAGAUUUCUGCAAAACUCAGUUUUUCUUGCGUUAUCUUUUGUACUUAGGCCCGAUUAUAACAGAUUAUUUACAGGAUUCCAGGGCCAUGUGGACGUAUCUUACUUUGUUUUUGUAAAGAAAUAUCUUUCUACUUUACUAUUCACAAUUUUUAGGGACAUGUGGUGCAGUGUGGAGAUGUUACGUUCGUCCGUUCUAGAUAAAUUUCUCCAAUAACCGGAUGUGUAUUUGCUUGAAAAUUGCUAACAAGUGCAUUCAUAUGGCAAUGAGUGUCAGAUGUAAAGGGUCAUGUUUGUACGGAAUACUUUUUCGUUUGUAACAAAUCAUGUUAGAUAAUUAGGGCCAUGUGUAACAUUGAAACCUUUUGAAAUUCCAGUCGCGUCUAUCAUGCAUUUCCUCGUCGUUCUACAUUGAUUCUCGUUGUGAAAAAAUCCUAGGGCCAUGUGUGCAAAACUUUCAUCGCCGUUUUUGUAGAGAUUUCUGCAAAACCCAAUUUUUCUUGCGUUAUCUUUUGUACUGAGGCCUAUUAUGACAUAUUAUCAACAGAAUUCCAGGGCCAUAUGAACAUGUCUUACUUUGUUUUGUAAAAACAUCUUUCUACUUUAUUAUGCACAAUUAUUUUAGGGACAUGUGGUGCAGUGUAGAGAUCUUACGUUCAUCCGUUCCGGAUAAAUUUCUCCAAUAGCUGGAUGUGUAUUUUCUUGACAAUUGCUUGGGCAUUCAUAUGGAAAUGAGUGUGAGAUGUAAAGGGUCAUGUUUGUACGGAAUACUUUUUCGUUUGUAACAAAUCAUGUUAGAUAUUUAGGGCCAUGUGUACCAUUGAAACCUUUUGAAAUUCCAGUCGCGUCUAUCAUGCAUUUUCUCGUCGUUCUGCAUUGAUUCUCAUUGUGAAAAAAAUCCUAGGGCCGUGUGUGCAAAACCUUCAUCGCCGUUUUUGAAGAGAUUUCUGCAAAACCCAAUUGUUCUUGCGUUAUCUUUUGUACUGAGGCCUAUUAUGACAUAUUAUCAAAAGAAUUCCAGAGCCAUAUGAACAUGUCUUACUUUGUUUUUGUAAAAAAACAUCUUUCUACUUUAUUAUGCACAAUUAUUUUAGGGACAUGUGGUGCAGUGUAGAGAUCUUACGUUCGUCCGUUCUGGAUAAAUUUCUCCAAUAGCUGGAUGUGUAUUUUCUUGACAAUAGCUAGAAGUGUUAGAUAAUUAGGGCCAUGUGUGAUUCCAGUCGGGUCUAUCAUGCACGGUCGUUCUAAAUUGAUUCUCAUUGUGAAAACAAUCCUAGGGCCAUGUGUACAAAAUUUUCAUUCCAGUCGCGUCUAUCAUGCAUUUUCUCGUCGUUCUGCAUUGAUUCUCAUUGUUAAAAAAAAUCCUAGGGCCAUGUGUACAAAAUUUUCAUCGCAGUUUUGUAGAGAUUUCUGCCAAACCCAAUUUUUCUUGCGUUAUCUUUUGUAGCAUACUUAGACCCGAUUAUAAACAGAUUAUUUACAUGAUUCCAGGGCCAUCUGAACGUUUCUUACUUUGUUUUUGUAAAAAAAAUCUUAGUUUCUAAUUUAUUGUGCAAAAUUAUUUCAUAGGGCCAUGUGGUGCAGUAUAUUCCUCCGUUCUGUAUACAUUUCUCCAAUAGCCGGACGUGUAUUUUCUUGAAAAUUGCUUGUGCAUUCAUAUCAUCCCUCUUGAGUGCGAUUCGUUGUGUGAAAUACUCUAGAGACAUGUGUUAAGUAUCAAUAGCUAUUUUUAUUUAAACUUGAAUAGCUCUAAUGUUGGAUCUAUGUUUUCUUGUAUACUAUGUAUUCCUCACCUGCAUAAACUUCACAGUGGUUCAUGAAGUGAAAUACUCUAUAUAGGACCAUAUUUUUAAAAAAAAUCUAAAUCAUUGUCUGUGCGACCGAAAAAAUCUUGGAGAUGCAUUGUUUAAAAAAAUGCCACCUACAUGUAUAGGGCCAUGAGCAGAUCUUACAUAUUCCUUGAAACAUUGUAACGGUCGUGAAACGUAAUCAGAACUAUGGUUUCAUCGAUUCCACAAUUAUUUUAUGACACUCUGAUCCUUGUCGAAAAUUACGUCUUAUGGACAUAUUGUUUGUGAUUUUGUUCUUCCAUAAUAUCCGAUUCACAAAGAUCGAUUAUUGUCUUUUGUGUUGGGCCAUUGCGUCAACUUAGUUUUGUUUAUUGUAAAUCAGGUGUAAUGACACCUGUUAUGUCGGAUACACCUUGUAAUCGCUCUGUAAAGUGCAAAUCUUGAAUUUACAGGUUGAAAUAAUGUGCAUCAAUUAAUUUUUUUUGACAGCCACAACACCAGUGGAGGUUUUGAUCGAUGGUACGUUUCAAUUCUGAUAAGUCCGAUCACAGCUCGUCGGCAAUGUGAAUGUUGUUUCCCUUUGCACCAAUGCGCCUUGCUUUGUCCAUACUGGAGUUAUCAUCUUCGCGACCAUUAGGCCAAAGAAUAGGCCUAAACUAAGCUUUCUUUCUCAACGGUUGAAUCCUUUACAGUGGUCAGGUAAGGGCCACCGAUUGGAUUAUUUUCACCGUCUGUAUGUAAGAUACUUUGCACCCAAUUAGGCCUAGAGAUCUACAAAGCAUAGAACAAACGUAAGUUUCCCUUUUUCUAUAUCUUUAUAGUGGUCAGGUAAGGACCAUUAAUAUACAUUUUCCUUCUCUUUACACCACAGUACCGAUCACAAUUUCCGAUCGGGAAGCCACUGUACAUUGUAGUAAACAUAACCUAGCUCCGCUAGGAAGACUUCUUUUAGUUUCAGCAACUUGCAGUUAGAUUAGGAGGACCAGUAUUGGCCAGAGUGCUCAUGGCAUGCAGUAGCUGAUGACACAGAGGAACCGGAAGCAGGGAGGAGGAACACCGGAUGGCUGAUGGCCCUGCUUGCCGGGCAUCCCAUUACUGAUUUCCUUGAGAUGGCGGUCUGCAAGAUGAGAUAUCAUUCGGGACGAAGAUACGAUCACUUCUGAAUCUCAAGGAACUGGAAGCAGGGAGGAGGACCGACGGAAGGACUGAAGACCCUGCUUAUAGAGCAAGUCUUCACCAAUUCUUUAGAUUCCUCGUGCUUCGUUUAUGCAGAAGAGAUGAUGACAAACAUAACAGAGUGCAGUUCUUGCCUGGGGUGGGAACACGAAUUUUAGCAACACUCGACUAAAAGUUUUUACAACAGCUUGCUCCUGAAAGUUUCCAUUAUGCGUUUCUCUUAAACGUUAAGGACACCAUCCCAUUUCAAAAUCCCUCGGAGUCCAGCUGGAAUAAAAAA